UACUCGAGUGGCGAACGGGUGAGUAACACGUGGGUGAUCUGCCUUGCACUCUGGGAUAAGCUUGGGAGACUGGGUCUAAUACCGGAUAGGAACCGUCUUUAGUGUGGUGGUUGGAAAGUUUUUUCGGUGCAAGAUGAGCUCGCGGCCUAUCAGCUUGUUGGUGGGGUAAUGGCCUACCAAGGCGUCGACGGGUAGCCGGCCUGAGAGGGUGUACGGCCACAUUGGGACUGAGAUACGGUCCAA
Molecule: ribosomal RNA, 243 nt
Filed under: uncultured Actinomycetales bacterium
Lineage: Bacteria; Bacillati; Actinomycetota; Actinomycetes; Actinomycetales
Description: partial 16S ribosomal RNA
Rfam family: Bacterial small subunit ribosomal RNA
Source: RNAcentral